CAUUGGACUAACAAGCUUUCUAAACUAGGAACAUUUUUCAAGAACCAGUAUGGAAAAGUAGCUUCUUCAGUGUAGAAUUCGCACACAUCAAUGUGUUUGACAUUAUUGAAUUGAACCCCUGAAUAUUGGCUCUGCAAUAUGCCAAAGUCUUUGUUUAUUCAAGGCCAACCUCUCGACAUUGGUAAGUACCUGUUGCGAAAAAUAAAUUAGAACUAAAGAAAUCUGUUUUUGUCCUUGGCAGUUUAUGAAACAAUUAAAUACAUUCUAUCUUCUGCUAAGUAGAACAAAAAAUAAUAUGGAAAGUUAUGAAUUAAUUAACCUCAAAAAAAUGGUGGAUUCUAGGGUGAGGGUUCAAUUAAGUCCCUCACCGGUGAAGCACCACAAUAACACCAUUUGAUUGAAUCAAUGGUCAAGAUUGUUUAAGAAAAAUAUGAGAACAUUUAUUCCUUUCCACACACAAUCCCACCUCUAUUUCUUUCUCAUUUGCAUCCUUUUUCAAUUCAACACAAAUAUGCGGAAGAUGCUUGCUUAAAGUUAACUGAACUGGUGAUGAUAAUCAGCCUAAAUAAAAAUCGGACAUACCAUGAUGAAAUUAAACGAAGAUUAUUUAUGUUUUAUGUUUUUUUAUUGGGUUUAAUAGCAAAGGUAGAAUAGAGGUAUAAAAUUCACCAACCACUUAAAAUUAAAUUUCCAUUUCCAUUACACCAUUGGCCAGGGAAGAUUAAAUCUAUUUUAUCGAAAAAAUGUUGACGAUUAUACAACUAUGCCAACAAAAAUUAAUUGAUUAGCAUAUGAAUCUCUGGCGUGAAGUGAUGUGAGAAAUCUUUAAAUUGUUUUUUGAAAUAGCAAUCUUAAACCAAAAUAAUAUCAAACUUAGGUACAUAUAUCUAUGUUAUUAAUCCCGUACAAGAAUGAGUAUAAAAACAUUUGAUUCUCAAAACCCGUUUCAUUCUUUCCAAAAUUCGUCAAUACCCAAAUCCAGUUUUUAGUUUUAAAUUUUGAAUAAAAAAUUUCCAUACAAAUAUCAAACAAAAAUUAUCAGAUGUGAAGAUGCAAUUGAAGUAGAAAUUGAGUAAACCAAACCAUAAUGGUUUAGACAAGAGUGUGAGGAUGGAAACAGUUUCAUGGCAUAGAUGCAGAAGUUGAAAGGAGAGAAAUAAAGAAAGAAAUUGGAAAGAGAUGAGAUUAGAUCCGGUGUGGUAGUGACUAAUGAGUGUAAUUAAUCUAAUGGUUAAAUUUAGUGGUACACCAGUGAGGGAUUUAAUUGAACCCUCACCCUAGAACAUAUUGAGUAAUUUGUAAUAAAAUUAAUAGAGAUUCUAUUCAAACACAAAAAUAGACACAAAUAUGGUGACACCAUAUAGCACUGUUCAUUUUUUGUAAUUUAUUUUUGCAAAAAGAGAAAACUUUUUUCCAAAAAUAAUAUAUACCAUUAACCACAUAAAAUACAUUUUUAACACCUAAAAUGUAGGUCAUUAAUCAUCUAAAUGUAGGUCAUUAAUCAUCUAGCGUACUUCAUAGAGAAAUGUUAAAACUUACACCUAAAAUGUGUGUCAUUAACGAUUAAAAAAAGUAUUUUAAAAGGUUAAAACUUACAUUUUAGUUGUUAAUGAAGUACUCCAAGUGGUCAAUGAGAAAUUUAUGUACUUCUGGCAUUUUAUAACAAUGUUAAAUAAGUGGUUAACAUUUUUAGUGAUUAAUAAAGUACUUAAAUGAUUAAUGAGAUAUAUGUUAAAUAACUAGUUAAUGACUUACAUUUUAGUGCUUAAUGAAGGAAGUAGUAAGUGUGUUUGGUUUGCAAAACAGUAAGUACUGGACAGAACAGUACAAGAUAGAAUAGUACAACACAUGGCAGAAUAGCACAGGACAAAUUUUUUAUGGCAUUGAGUAAUUUUUUGUUUUAUACGAUUUUUGAGGGACAAAAUGCUAUUUUGGUAUUUUAGACAACUUGUAUGUGGGACAAAAAGUUGUGUUGUGGUUUGGUGAGAGACAAAAAUAUGAGUUUUUGUCCUGUCCCUUGCCUCCAGUUUGUCCUGUACCUGAAACAGUUUUACAAAUCAAACAUUGGACAACUAGAGUUGUUAUGUCCUGUCCUUCAUUUUUUAACAAAUCAAACGCACAAGCUUGUAAUGACUUACAUUUUUUAAACUAAAUUAGAACCGAAGAAAUUUGUAUUUUCCUUGGCAGUUUUUGAAACAAUUAAGUACAUUCUAUCUUCUUGCCAAGUAGUUUAAUAAAUUAUAUGGAAAUUAUGAACUAAUCAGCCGCAACCAAUAUAAUAAACAUAUUGAGUAAUUGGUACUCCCUCCGUUCCAUAAUAAUUGAUCCAUUUAGUAAAAAAAAUAUUGUCCUAAGAAUCUUGACCCAUUUCACUUUUCAAUACAACAUUAAUUACUUUUUUCCAAUUAUAACUUUAAUUAAUACUACUUUCACAACUCUCAAUUCAAUAUAUUUAACUUUACACUCAAAACCAUUUUUCUCUCUCUUUCCUUUAUACAUUUUUCUUAAUAUGUAUGAAAUGGAAAAUUGGCUCAGUAACUGAAGCGGAGGGAGUAAUAAUGUAACAUCCCAGACUGCUUUCAGGAUUGCCGACUGACCCCACAAACCAACACGAGUCUUUUCAGCGUGUUUUGUCAUCACGCGCACGCUUAUUGGAAAACUUUCCGGUAGGUCACCCAUCCCAAAAUUGCUCCAAGUCAAGCACGCUUAACUGUGGAGUUCUUAUGGAAUGAACUACCGAAAAGAAGAUGCAUCUUGUUGAUAUAGGUAGUACCCAACAAUUCUUAUAAGCUUUCCUUCAACCAUGUAGUCCCCUACCUACAAGGCCUCAGGAUCCCUCUCAUUCCGAUGUGAUUCGAUUCCUCUAGAAGCUGUCGGGAGCCGCUCAUUGUCGUGCCUUGUGCACCGGCGACCACUCCCCGCCCUCGUCAGCCUUGGGUGUUACAAAUAAACACAAAUAUGGUGACACUUUACAACACCUAUUGUAUUUUUUUUAUUAAUUUAUUUUUGCCAAAAAAUAAAACUCUUUUCUAAAAUUUUAUAAACGGCGGCUUGAUGCGCAAAGCUCCCGCAUACACAAGAUUCAGGAAGGAGUCACGCCGUUUUUUGUGUAGUGUACACAAUUUUACCCUGUUUUUUCACACAAGAGGUUGUUUGUAGGUAGGGGUGGGAAUAGGCCAGGCCAGGCCAGGCUUUGAUAGGCCUGAGCCUAGCCUAUGAAAUAAAUCACAAGCUUGAGCCUGGCCUAUGGCCUAUCAUAGGCCGUUUUUCUGAGCCUUGUGUGGCCUAUUUAAAAGUUUGGACUGGCCUGAAAGCCUACUUACAGGCCUACUUCACAUUAAGGUCAUCAAAUAGUUCAUUUGGCCUACUAAAUAGGUUAAACAUGUCUUAAAGCCUACUUAAAAGCCUAUUUCACUACAAGUAAAUUUCAACUAGAUUAAAGCCUACAUAAAAGCCUAUAACAACAAAGCCUAUUAAGGGACUAAUAGAUAGAGAAAAAGAUGUUUAUAUAGGCAAUUAUUUUAAUAUAAAAAUAUAUUUUUUAAUAAAUAAGUAUUAAUAGGCCGGCCUAUUAGGCUUAACAGUCUUUUUUUGAGGCCUAAGCUUGGCCUAUUUAACUAAACAGGCUUUCUAAAAAGCCUAAGCCUAGGCCUAUCUACUAAACAGGCCAGGCCAAAACAGGUCAGGCCGUAGGCCGACCUGGCCUAUUCCAAACCCUAUUUGUAGGAAUUGAACAUGUGACUUUUCAGUCGUUGGGAGAGUUGCAACACAAAGACUUCCCAAAAGGUCACCAACCUAAUACUACUCUAGUCCAAACACGUAAUUAGUCUGAGUCGUACUAAUCUAGUGUAUUAGUGAUGUAUCAUCGCACCUCCAUGAUUAUCUAAAAUUUAUAUUUUCUAAAAGAAUAUAGACUUUACAUAAUUAAGGAGGAUACUUUUGCAACACAAAUACUGAUUUAUCUCAUUAACCACUAAAAUGUAAGUCAGUAACCGCUUAUUUAACAUAGUUAUGAAGUAUAUCCCCUAAAAAAGUGACUUAAGUAUAUAGAUAACUCAUUAACCAUUUAGAGUACUUCAUUAACAAAAUACAAAUUAUUAACAGCUUAGAGUGGGUCAUUAAACAUUAGAUAAAGUAUUAAAACGUUAAAAACCUAUAUUUUAGUGGUUAAAGUGGUUAAUGAGAAAUUUAUAUGCUUUAGUUAUUUUAUAAAAGUUAAAAAAUUGGUUGACACUUUAGUGGUGAAUGAAGUAUUUAAAUUAAUGAGAUAUAAGUUAAAGAACUAGUUUUUUUAAGAAGUUAAAUAACUAGUUAAUGACUAAAAUUUUAGUGCUUAAUGAAUUACUCCAAGUGGUUAAUGAGAUAAAUCUGUAUCUGUGUAAGAAAUAACUCUCUAUCAUUAUCUAGAAAAUGUUUAUGCUAAAUAAAUAAAAUAAAAAUAAAAAACAAAUUAUGUAAAAUUAAUAACGCAUUAAAAACAAAUCAACAUUUGUGCAUGUAAAUCAAUAUAUAUUAAGAGCAAGGAUGAUAUAUUUGUAUGCUGAAUUUACCUCUUCAAUCACAAAAAGAGGUUGAUACGUUGAGAUAUUGAGCACAUCACUUCUGGAACUUUCUUGGUGUCUUAGCUCUGUCUUAAAUAGCUCUAUUUUUGGACAUCCAAACAAGUAAAUUGUUUUCAACGAUUUACAUUGAAGUGAAUGAACACCAACAAAGAAUGCCUUCAGCUUAGGUAAAAGUUCAAGUCUAAUGAAUGUUAAAUGAGAAAACACAAAGUUUACUAUCUCAUUUGUUCCUUCUUCCUUGGCAACAAUUUCUUCAAUCCCACAGUUACUUACUCGAAGACUUUGAAGUUGCAUCAUAUCUCUAGCUACUGUGAGCGGAAAGAUACUAAUCAAACUUGUGCAUUCCUCAACUGACACUUCACUUAAAUUUUGAAACCUCAUAGUGUCAUGUGGAUCCUCCUUCCAUACAUGCUUCAGUUUUGGAACAUUAGAUAGUUUUAGUUUCUUCAAUUGACUAGAAUUCUUCACAACAAUUUCUUUUGCAAAUUCAUCUUUCAAAUCAAAAACUGCUUCUAAUGAAUUACAAUCUUUGAUAUCUAAUUCUUCCAAGUUUGUUAGCACUUCUAGCAAAUUUGGUCGAAAAAGCACCUCGGAUAAAAACUCACACUUAUGAACCACUAGACACUUCAAACUCCUAAAUACAUUAUGCUCAAGUUUACCAUACCAUAAUUCUUUUAACUCAGGAUACUCAGAUAGUUUUAAAUGCUUGAAACUACCAAAGGCCACCUAGCAAAACAGUUGUGUCAUGAGUUAGUUCAAACUAAAGUAGUAAAGGAUAAUGCACUUACAAAGUCUAUGUACAUAGUAAAAUUAUUUGCAAAUUAAAAAUAUUAUAACUUUCACAUUGUUUUUAAAUUCGUCCAAUAUAUAUAUAACACAAAAAUUGAUAUAGCAAGUUAAUUAUUUAUUUGAAAUUAGAUUUAAUGCAUAUAAUGAUUAUCAUGUUGUUUGUUGAACAAUAGUAUUAAAAACUUAAUUGAAAGAAGAAGCAAAAGUGAGUGGGAAAAGGACUCUUCUGAUUCCUCAUACCAACAUCUUAUGAACUAAGAAUUCAAUACAGAUAACUUGAAUUGAGAAUCCAUCUCUUUCUCUCUAAUAAUGAAAAUUAAGAUUACAAGUAUACAUUCAAGUUGAGAGUGAGCUUUGCUCACUGAAGUAUACCGACUGUAACUAACUGUGCCAGUGUCUCUAGGCUUCAUUGCUUCUAUUGUGUAUUAGGGUCCAUUAUAUCCUCUUGCAAGGAAGAAUCGAAUAUAUUUUACUUUCUUUCUUUUGAAGAACAAUAAUGCAGCCCAUUUCCUGCUGGCAAUACAUGAUCGUGUAGAUCUCAAUAUGAUUUGGAGUUAACAGAAAGGUAUUCUGAUAGAAAUAUCCUUAAAUUAGCAAAAAGUAAAUAAAGCGGUUAAUUCACACAUGCUGUUGUAUUUUGACUCAAAAAUGAAGGUUCGGAUACACAUAGAAUCGUGACACGAUUUCUUACGCGUGACACGAUUUCUUACGCGUGUCACGAUUUUCGUAGUCGUGAGCAUGGUUUCUCCUAGUGCUCAAUCGUGAUACGAUUUUGAGCAAUCGUGACAUGAUUUUUGGUAUGUUUGGCACGUUUUCAGGAUAAGUUUGCUCGUACCUUGGGUCGUACGCAUCAACCGUGACACGAUUUGGCCAAUCGUGACACGUUUUUUGACAGUAGUAGGGCACUACUUAAGUGUUUCAGUUCAUUUUUGAGAGAUCUUCAAGAAAGAAAAAAAUUGAGAAAUCAAAGGAGGUAUCUUUAGAGUUGAGGGUCUUUGAAUAGAGCUAUACCUUGGGUGAGUGAAAAUCAUUGAGUGUCUUGUUCAUUGGUGAGAUUGGUAAAAUGGUGAGAAAUUAGAUUUUUUCUAGUGAGCUUGUUGAAGCUAAUUUCUUGUAACCCAUUUGUAUCUCUGUGUAAGAACUCAUUGAUAGUGGAUUGGAGAGAUCAAUCUCUCUCCCAUAGUCGGUCAAAUUGGACCAAACUGUGUAAACAUUUCUUGGUGUAUUUGUUUCUCUUCUCUCUUUAUCUUUUACUUGUGGUUUUGAGUUUUUCACUUUGAUUACCAGAUUAGAUCUAUAUGUUGUUAUUAUUGUUGUUGCUUACGUUUACUUUGAUAUUGGUUACUACUUUCAUUUGCUACACAAAUCUUUGUUUUCAUUGGUGUAAUUUUGAGUCCGAAUUCACAACAAUUGGCGCGCACCGUGGGGCAUACGAGUGAAUUAGUUUAGUGAGUACUAUGGGUUCAAAGUGGGUAACGAUUUUGGGUUAUGGAAGGUGAAGAUGCAAGCGGUGUUGAUACAACAAAAGUACGAGAAAGCUUUGAAGGGUGAAGGUGCGUUACCGGUCACCAUGACACAAGCGGAUAAGACCGACAUGGUGGACAUGGGUAGGAGUGCCAUUGUCUUUGUGCCUCGGUGACAAAGUUUCGAGGGACGUCGCGAAGGAACGCGACCAACCGCGGCGUCAGUCUCCAUGACACAAGCGGAUAAGGCCGAGAUGGUGGACAAGGCUAGGAGUGUCAUUGUGUUUGUGCCUCGGUGACAAAUUUUUGAGGGAUGUCGCGAAGGAACCAACUGCGGCGUUGAUGUGAUCAAAGUUGGAGUCAUUGUAUAUGACCAAGACUUUGGCUCAUAGGCAAAUCCUAAAGCAACAACUCUACUCAUUCAAGAUGAUAGAGUCAAAGACAAUGACAGAGCAAUUAACGGAGUUUAUUAAAAUACUUAAUGAUUUGGAGAACAUUGAGUUGCAAUAUGAGAAUAAAGACAAAGAUAUACUCUUGUUAUGUGCUUUACCGUGAUCAUUUGAAUCAUUCAAGGAUACCAUGCUCUAUGGCAAAUGUUACUCCCUCCGUCCCUAAUUAUAAGACCCUUCUGAGAAAUUUUUCUGUCCCUUUUUAUAAGACCCCUUUGCUAUUUCUAACUACAUUAAUUAUUUCUUUACAUGCAUGCUCCUAUUUAUUAUACAUAAUUUUCUUCAAUCAGCAAUAAAUAUCAUGUUGAAAACAUAAACUAACCUUCUUUCUUAAAGGAUAAAAUUGUAAAAACAAUAGUGAUUACAAACAACUUUAAUACAAAUAUCCACUAUCUUAAUUCCCGUGAUUUUGGCAAAAGGGUCUUAUAUAUAGGGACGGAGGGAGUAAUAUAUAAAUAUAUAGUAAAUAAUUAUAUUUAUGCUCUAAAUAUAUUUUAGCUUGCUCUCUAAGUUACUUAGGAUAUAAUAUUAUGACGAAUAUUCAUUCUAUAAAUAUAUCAUAGCUUAGGCCCUAAGCUACCUACUUCUAUAUAAUAAAUCUUCUGUUGUGCUAUUCAGACACACGGUAUUCAUCAUAUGUCUCUCUUUUCUCUCUUAUUCAACAUCAUAUGACACCCGCCCGCAAGCGCCUCCUUUCUCUCCGACGCAAACUCCCACGCGCCGCUCUUACCACCGCGCAUGACGGCAUGUCUGACCUCCGUUCAGGGUGCCCCUGCUCUCAUCGGAGUCGGAAUUCUUUGUUGAUUACAGAUCCGGUCUCUUUUUAGUGUUGAUCCAUGGAAAUACGUGCUCUAGUUCUAGCAACCGUGAAUCCUUUUGUUUUGCGCAAUUUUUCACUCUCUCGACAGUUUCAACACUGCUUGUCAUCCUUUCUUUAUUGCAUUGGGCUGUUUUGAUUCUCGGAUUGUGACCAUCAGCCUGCUCCAUGACUCGUCCCAAAUGUAAGUAUUGUCACCGUUUUGGACAUUCCAUUUUUCACUACAGGAAACUUCAAGGGCGCUCUUCACGUCCUUUGAUUGCUCUAUCCGACACCAUUCAGACCGCUAAUUCUCCUAAGGUUUCUAUGCCAACUUAUGAAGAUUUUUUCCGAUGGGUAAAAUUUCGUCAAAACUCAGCUGUUUCGGGAGUACACACCGGUAAAUCAUUUAGUUGUAACUCUACGUCAACUUCUCUUAAUCCAUGGAUUCUUGAUUCAGGUGCAACUCAUCAUAUUACCGGCAAUAAAGAUUUUUUUAUCUCCUCUCUCACUACAUCCGGUUAGUUACCGAGUAUUACCACAGCAAAUGGUUCCGAAACAUGGUCCACAGGAAACAAAAAUGAUGAAGUUAGUAUAGAGAAGAGUUAGUUAGUAAACUUGCACAUCAAGUUAACCCCUUGCAACUGUUUCUUAAUCUUAGUUAGUUAGAGAAGUAACUAGAGUUAGUUGACAGUUAUAGGGUUACAUGUUCUAUAUAUACUCUUCAUGUACUACUUGUAAGUUUCAGUUUUGUAUGAAAUAGUUCCAUAAGAAUAAACCUUUCUUCUUCCUUAAGUUUUUUCUCUCCAUUAAUGGAAUUUUACUUCCAGUUUUCACAAAAAAAUAAAAAUGGUGGAUUGACACAUACCUUGUCAUCAAACAACUUGUUUACCGAUCUAUUGAGAUCACCCUCCCAGUGAUUUUGUUCAUCAUUUUCUUCAUUGCUUUCUUCAAUUUGUACAAUUUGAAGAUUUGGUGUGUUGGUCACUCCAGAUGAAAAAAGUUCCAUUCGUGCACAUUCUUUGACAACUACAACUUCUAGCAAUGGAAACUUAAUAGGGCAUGGGCAUGAGCAAAGUUGAUGAAGCCGUGGUAAAGAAUUUAAUUCUAGAAAUUGUAAACUUUGAAAUUCAAUUUCGUCCGUCUCAUCUUCUUUACCAUUCACUAUAUCCUCAAGCAAAUUACACAUUUUAAUCUUCAUUGUUGUGAGUUUGACAAGACUCUUUGCUGUUGAGUAUGUUAUCAAAUUUAUCAACCCAUUGCAGUUUGCCACCUCCAAAUAGGUCAGGUAAGUAAAGGUAACAGAUGAUGGAACCAACUUUAUUAGACUGGAACACUGAUGAACAAUAAUGAUUUCAAUAAAAUGUAGAAUGGGGUCCAUUUUAAACCCUUCUUUGCAUAUAUAUUGAAGCUUGUGCAACUGCCAUAAUUUCAACAGUUUGAGUCGCGGGCUAAUUUGAGUUUCCUUUUCUGUACUUAUGAGUUGUUCGCCUUGAAAUAUCUCCGUGAAGAUACUCCACUGUACUAACAAGCUUUCUAAACUAGGAACAUUUUUCAAGAACCAGUAUGGAAAAGCAUCUUCUUCAGUGUAGAAUUGGCACACAUCAAUGUGUUUGACAUUAUUGAAUUGAACCCCUGAAUAUUGGCUCUGCAAUAUGCCAAGGUCUUUGUUAUUCAAGGCCAACCUCUCGACAUUGGUAAGUACCUGUUGCGAAAACUAAAUUAGAACUAAAGAAAUCUGUUUUUGCCUUGGCAGUUUAUGAAACAAUUAAAUACAUUCUAUCUUCUGCUAAGUAGAACAAAAAAUAAUAUGGAAAGUUAUGAAUUAAUUAACCUCAAAAAAAUGGUGGAUUCUAGGGUGAGGGUUCAAUUAAGUCCCUCACCGGUGAAGCACCACAAUAACACCAUUUGAUUGAAUCAAUGGUCAAGAUUGUUUAAGAAAAAUAUGAGAACAUUUAUUCCUUUCCACACACAAUCCCACCUCUAUUUCUUUCUCAUUUGCAUCCUUUUUCAAUUCAACACAAAUAUGCGGAAGAUGCUUGCUUAAAGUUAACUGAACUGGUGAUGAUAAUCAGCCUAAAUAAAAAUCGGACAUACCAUGAUGAAAUUAAACGAAGAUUAUUUAUGUUUUAUGUUUUUUUAUUUGGGUUUAAUAGCAAAGGUAGAAUAGAGGUAUAAAAUUCACCAACCACUUAAAAUUAAAUUUCCAUUUCCAUUACACCAUUGGCCAGGGAAGAUUAAAUCUAUUUUAUCGAAAAAAUGUUGACGAUUAUACAACUAUGCCAACAAAAAUUAAUUGAUUAGCAUAUGAAUCUCUGGCGUGAAGUGAUGUGAGAAAUCUUUAAAUUGUUUUUUGAAAUAGCAAUCUUAAACCAAAAUAAUAUCAAACUUAGGUACAUAUAUCUAUGUUAUUAAUCCCGUACAAGAAUGAGUAUAAAAACAUUUGAUUCUCAAAACCCGUUUCAUUCUUUCCAAAAUUCGUCAAUACCCAAAUCCAGUUUUUAGUUUUAAAUUUUGAAAUAAAAAAUUUCCAUACAAAUAUCAAACAAAAAUUAUCAGAUGUGAAGAUGCAAUUGAAGUAGAAAUUGAGUAAACCAAACCAUAAUGGUUUAGACAAGAGUGUGAGGAUGGAAACAGUUUCAUGGCAUAGAUGCAGAAGUUGAAAGGAGAGAAAUAAAGAAAGAAAUUGGAAAGAGAUGAGAUUAGAUCCGGUGUGGUAGUGACUAAUGAGUGUAAUUAAUCUAAUGGUUAAAUUUAGUGGUACACCAGUGAGGGAUUUAAUUGAACCCUCACCCUAGAACAUAUUGAGUAAUUUGUAAUAAAAUUAAUAGAGAUUCUAUUCAAACACAAAUAUGGUGACACCAUAUAAUACUGUUCAUUUUUUGUAAUUUAUUUUUGCAAAAAGAGAAAACUUUUUUCCAAAAAUAAUAUAUACCAUUAACCACAUAAAAUACAUUUUUAACACCGAAAAUGUAGGUCAUUAAUCAUCUAAAUGUAGGUCAUUAAUCAUCUAGAGUACUUCAUAGAGAAAUGUUAAAACUUACACCUAAAAUGUGUGUCAUUAACGAUUAAAAAAAAGUAUUUUAAAAGGAUAAAACUUACAUUUUAGUUGUUAAUGAAGUACUCCAAGUGGUCAAUGAGAAAUUUAUGUACUUCUGGCAUUUUAUAACAAUGUUAAAUAAGUGGUUAACAUUUUUAACAAAUAAAACGCACAAGCUUGUAAUGACUUACAUUUUUUAACUAAAUUAGAACUGAAGAAAUUUGUAUUUUCCUUGGCAGUUUUUGAAACAAUUGAGUACAUUCUAUCUUCUUGCCAAGUAGUUUAAUAAAUUAUAUGGAAAAUUAUAAACUAAUCAGCCGCAACCAAUAUAAUAAACAUAUUGAGUAAUUUGGUACUCCCUCCGGUUCCAUAAUAAUUGAUCCAUUUGUAAAAAAAAUAUUGUCCUAAGAAUCUUGACCCAUUUCACUUUUCAAUACAACAUUAAUUACUUUUUUCCAAUUAUAACUUUAAUUAAUACUACUUUCACAACUCUCAAUUCAAUAUAUUUAACUUUACACUCAAAACCAUUUUUCUCUCUCUUUCCUUUAUACAUUUUUCUUAAUAUGUAUGAAAUGGAAAAUUGGCUCAGUAACUGAAGCGGAGGGAGUAAUAAUGUAACAUCCCAGACUGCUUUCAGGAUUGCCGACUGACCCCACAAACCAACACGAGUCUUUUCAGCGUGUUUUGUCAUCACGCGCACGCUUAUUGGAAAACUUUCCGGUAGGUCACCCAUCCCAAAAUUGCUCCAAGUCAAGCACGCUUAACUGUGGAGUUCUUAUGGAAUGAACUACCGAAAAGAAGAUGCAUCUUGUUGAUAUAGGUAGUACCCAACAAUUCUUAUAAGCUUUCCUUCAACCAUGUAGUCCCCUACCUACAAGGCCUCAGGAUCCCUCUCAUUCCGAUGUGAUUCGAUUCCUCUAGAAGCUGUCGGGAGCCGCUCAUUGUCGUGCCUUGUGCACCGGCGACCACUCCCCGCCCUCGUCAGCCUUGGGUGUUACAAAUAAACACAAAUAUGGUGACACUUUACAACACCUAUUGAUUUUUUUUAUAAUUUAUUUUUGCCAAAAAAUAAAACUCUUUUCUAAAUUUUUUUUAUAAACGGCGGCUUGAUGCGCAAAGCUCCCGCAUACAGGAUUCAGGAAGGAGUCACGCCAUUUUUUGUGUAGUGUACACAAUUUUACCCAGUUUUUUCACACAAGAGGUUGUUUGUAGGUAGGGGUGGGAAUAGGCCAGGCCAGGCCAGGCUUUGAUAGGCCUGAGCCUAGCCUAUGAAAUAAAUCACAAGCUUGAGCCUGGCCUAUGGCCUAUCAUAGGCCGUUUUUCUGAGCCUUGUGUGGCCUAUUUAAAAGUUUGGACUGGCCUGAAAGCCUACUUACAGGCCUACUUCACAUUAAGGUCAUCAAAUAGUUCAUUUGGCCUACUAAAUAGGUUAAACAUGUCUUAAAGCCUACUUAAAAGCCUAUUUCACUACAAGUAAAUUUCAACUAGAUUAAAGCCUACAUAAAAGCCUAUAACAACAAAGCCUAUUAAGGGACUAAUAGAUAGAGAAAAAGAUGUUUAUAUAGGCAAUUAUUUUAAUAUAAAAAUAUAUUUUUUAAUAAAUAAGUAUUAAUAGGCCGGCCUAUUAGGCUUAACAGUCUUUUUUUGAGGCCUAAGCUUGGCCUAUUUAACUAAACAGGCUUUCUAAAAAGCCUAAGCCUAGGCCUAUCUACUAAACAGGCCAGGCCAAAACAGGUCAGGCCGUAGGCCGACCUGGCCUAUUCCAAACCCUAUUUGUAGGAAUUGAACAUGUGACUUUUCAGUCGUUGGGAGAGUUGCAACACAAAGACUUCCCAAAAGGUCACCAACCUAAUACUACUCUAGUCCAAACACGUUUAAUUGCUGAGUUCCGAUAGAAUCUAGUGCAUUAAUGAUGAUAUCAUCGCACCUCCAUGAUUAUCUAAAAUUUAUAUUUUCUAAAAGAAUAUAGACUUUACAUAAUUAAGGAGGAUACUUUUGCAACACAAAUACUGAUUUAUCUCAUUAACCACUAAAAUGUAAGUCAGUAACCGCUUAUUUAACAUAGUUAUGAAGUAUAUCCCCUAAAAAAGUGACUUAAGUAUAUAGAUAACUCAUUAACCAUUUAGAGUACUUCAUUAACAAAAUACAAAUUAUUAACAGCUUAGAGUGGGUCAUUAAACAUUAGAUAAUGUAUUAAAACGUUAAAAAACUUAUAUUUUAGUGGUUAAAAGUGGUUAAUGAGAAAUUUAUAUGCUUUAGUUAUUUUAUAAAAGUUAAAAAAUUGGUUGACACUUUAGUGGUGAAUGAAGUAUUUAAAUUAAUGAGAUAUAAGUUAAAGAACUAGUUUUUUUAAGAAGUUAAAUAACUAGUUAAUGACUAAAAUUUUAGUGCUUAAUGAAUUACUCCAAGUGGUUAAUGAGAUAAAUCUGUAUCUGUGUAAGAAAUAACUCUCUAUCAUUAUCUAGAAAAUGUUUAUGCUAAAUAAAUAAAAUAAAAAUAAAAAACAAAUUAUGUAAAAUUAAUAACGCAUUAAAAACAAAUCAACAUUUGUGCAUGUAAAUCAAUAUAUAUUAAGAGCAAGGAUGAUAUAUUUGUAUGCUGAAUUUACCUCUUCAAUCACAAAAAGAGGUUGAUACGUUGAGAUAUUGAGCAC
This 13752-nucleotide long non-coding RNA is filed under the name Medicago truncatula (barrel medic). RNAcentral's name for it is "long non-coding RNA (MTRU_LNC001609)". Lineage: Eukaryota; Viridiplantae; Streptophyta; Magnoliopsida; Fabales; Fabaceae. The record is from RNAcentral.